ACGUACGCUGGCGGCACGCCUAACACAUGCAAGUCGAACGAAGUAGCAAUACUUAGUGGCAGACGGGUGAGUAACAUGUAGGUAUCUGCCCUUUGGCCUGGAAUAACACGAGGAAACUUGUGCUAAUACCGGAUAAGUCUUUACAGAGAAAGCUUUAUGCACCAUUGGAUGAGCCUGCACUUGAUUAGUUUGUUGGUGGGGUAAUGGCCUACCAAGACUUUGAUCAAUAGCUGAUUUGAGAGGAUGAUCAGCCACAUUGGGACUGAGACACGGCCCAAACUCCUACGGGAGGCAGCAGUGGGGAAUCUUGCACAAUGGAGGAAACUCUGAUGCAGCGAUGCCGCGUGAGUGAAGAAGGCCCUUGGGUUGUAAAGCUCUUUCGUCGGGGAAGAAAAUGACUGUACCCGAAUAAGAAGGUCCGGCUAACUUCGUGCCAGCAGCCGCGGUAAUACGAAGGGACCUAGCGUAGUUCGGAAUUACUGGGCUUAAAGAGUUCGUAGGUGGUUGAAAAAGUUGGUGGUGAAAUCCCAGAGCUUAACUCUGGAACUGCCAUCAAAACUUUUCAGCUAGAGUAUGAUAGAGGAAAGCAGAAUUUCUAGUGUAGAGGUGAAAUUCGUAGAUAUUAGAAAGAAUACCAAUUGCGAAGGCAGCUUUCUGGAUCAUUACUGACACUGAGGAACGAAAGCAUGGGUAGCGAAGAGGAUUAGAUACCCUCGUAGUCCAUGCCGUAAACGAUGUGUGUUAGACGUUGGAAAUUUAUUUUCAGUGUCGCAGCGAAAGCGAUAAACACACCGCCUGGGGAGUACGACCGCAAGGUUAAAACUCAAAUGAAUUGACGGGGACCCGCACAAGUAGUGGAGCAUGUGGUUUAAUUCGAAGAUACGCGCAGAACCUUACCAACACUUGACAUGUUCGUCGCGACUUUAAGAGAUUAAAGUUUUCGGUUCGGCCGGACGAAACACAGGUGCUGCAUGGCUGUCGUCAGCUCGUGUCGUGAGAUGUUGGGUUAAGUCCCGCAACGAGCGCAACCCUCACUUUUAGUUGCCAUCAUUAAGUUGGGCACUCUGAAAGAACUGCCAGUGAUAAGCUGGAGGAAGGUGGGGAUGACGUCAAGUCCUCAUGGCCCUUACGUGUUGGGCUACACACGUGCUACAAUGGUAUCUACAACAGGAAGCAAGACGGCGACGUUUAGCAAAUCCCUAAAAGAUACCUCAGUUCGGAUUGCACUCUGCAACUCGAGUGCAUGAAGCUGGAAUUACUAGUAAUCGUGGAUCAGCGUGCCACGGUGAAUGCGUUCCCGGGUCUUGUACACACCGCCCGUC
This 1322-nucleotide ribosomal RNA is filed under the name uncultured Alphaproteobacteria bacterium. RNAcentral describes it as "bacterial SSU rRNA". It matches the Rfam family "Bacterial small subunit ribosomal RNA", at positions 29 to 1398 of the family's 1533-position model. The record is from RNAcentral. Lineage: Bacteria; Pseudomonadati; Pseudomonadota; Alphaproteobacteria.